RNAcentral lists this ribosomal RNA (663 nucleotides) under Triticum aestivum (bread wheat). RNAcentral's name for it is "partial small subunit ribosomal RNA". Lineage: Eukaryota; Viridiplantae; Streptophyta; Magnoliopsida; Poales; Poaceae. The record is from RNAcentral.
AUGAUUUUUGCGGUGGCAGUAUGGAAUAUAUGGGAGAAUAGGAACUCAUGUCGCAAUGGUGAGGUACUCUCUCAUCCUACUCAUGUUGCUGGAAGAAUUAAAGCUUAUAUUGAUUUUAUCUUGCUGAAUAGCAACAGAUCAGCAGGCUCCAACAGGCGUGAUACAUCAACAUCAAUUCAAAAAUGGUCUCCGCCGCCAGAAGGACUGCUCACGAUCCAUGUGGAUGCUGUGAUUUUCUCAUAAUCUAGACGCGUUGGAUUUGGAGUGGUAAUGCGAGAUCACCAGGGACUGGUGUGAGCUGCUUGCCGAGGAUUUAUCAAUCAUGUACACUGUCCUGAGGUGGCUGAAGCCCAUCCUGUUCGCCAAGCACUCAUCCUUGCUGAAAACACGGGGUUCCAAAUGUUUCAGGUGGCCUCAGACUGUCUCUCGGUGAUUAGGAAAAUCCAACAACAUGGCUUGGACAGAUCCCUGACUGGCGCUAUAGUCUAUGAUAUUAAGAGUAGGGCUACAAAGUUUACAUCCCGUACUUUUAGACAUGUUGUUCAUACAUGUAAUGAGGCUGCUCACAUUCUGGCCAAAUCUGCAGAGCAAUAUUCCGAUUCUAGUUGGUUUAAUGAGUGCCCUGAUAUGAUCAGGGCCAUUAUCUGUAACGAACAAUAUUGA